This is a long non-coding RNA of Salarias fasciatus (jewelled blenny), 611 nucleotides long. RefSeq lists it as uncharacterized. The transcript is spliced from 3 exons. The record is from RefSeq and is a predicted model, not a curated record. Lineage: Eukaryota; Metazoa; Chordata; Actinopteri; Blenniiformes; Blenniidae.
AGAUGUGGCAACCUCCUGCAAGCGCAACGGCUUCCUCCAGCCUCAACAAGCCCCCAACAUCUAGUCCAGCUUCCAAGUUACAUCAGACAGAUGUUAUGCCGGCAUCCUCCUCCAGAUCAAGAACUCCUGCAGUGAAGGAGCACCCCGAGACCGAGACUGUCGGAGACGAUGUGUGCGAGGAGAGCGAGUCCUUACCAUCAAAAACGAUCCGGGGUGUCGCCGUGACGCAGGGUGGUCUCUUCAUCCAGGGCCUCAAAGAGGGGACAGAAUACACCUCCCUGCUACAAUGGAGGGGACCCACAGGGGCUGUUGCUAUCUGUGUGUGUGUGUGUGCGUGCGUGCGGGUGUGUGUGUGGUGUGUGGUGGGGGUGCAGCUUUAAGCAGGCCUUUGAGUGGCCUAAUUGCAUUGGAAUACAGCAGUCUGAGAGCUGGCUCAGAUCACGGCGGGCUGCUGGAGGGGUUAGCGCCCGCACCUCGACAGCCACACUCAGCAAAAGAGCCCCGGCACAAAGCGCACAAUUAAUGCUCUCCCUCUCGUUAACUCGCUCCCCACUUUUUGUCCUCUCUACUUUUCCUCCUCCCUCCUUCUCACCCUCAUAUCUUAGUCUCUC